RNAcentral lists this long non-coding RNA (448 nucleotides) under Homo sapiens (human). Its description in RNAcentral is "non-protein coding lnc-KCNA5-4:1". The record is from RNAcentral. Lineage: Eukaryota; Metazoa; Chordata; Mammalia; Primates; Hominidae.
CCAAGGAAGAGUGACUCAAAAAUAAGAAGCAGGCUGAAAAAUGAGAUGAGGAGACCGAGGCUCGGAGAGGCUUAUGCAUUUGCCCAAGACUCUACAACUCCACAACUUAACAGGCAAUUGCAUCUAGCAUAUAAUGUGUUGGUUAUCCCCAGAACACAGAGCAGUGCAUCUCCACAGCGAGAAUUCCAGAACAGGUAGGAAAUUCCUUGUCUUUGGGGUUUUACUUUUGCAUGUUUCCCAGAAGGGGGCAGCAUCUCCCUGAGAUUUCUUCCCUUUGGCGGUACAAUCCUUUCCAGCAGCCUUUAAGGAAGGGCAGAUUCAGAAAUCCGGAGAAUUGCCUCAGUCUCUGCCAUUCAGAUUCACUAGAGGAGUGGGAAUGGGCAAAGGGUGGCCUGUAGACUGGAGAACAAGUGUCUUCAGAAUGACGUGUGCCCACGGUGGUCCAAGA